RNAcentral lists this microRNA precursor (76 nucleotides) under Myotis lucifugus (little brown bat). RNAcentral describes it as "mir-9229 microRNA precursor family". It matches the Rfam family "mir-9229 microRNA precursor family". Lineage: Eukaryota; Metazoa; Chordata; Mammalia; Chiroptera; Vespertilionidae. The record is from Rfam by way of RNAcentral.
GAGACACCCUUCUGGGCAAGGACUUGCUUCAGUGGGGCUUUGGUGCUCACUGAGUCUGCCCCCUGAGUGUGUCCCU